UCUCACCUAAACUCAAAAAACGUGGCUAUGUUUCAGCCUGCUCUACGCACUGGUGUUUUCCCCAAGCUCAUUUUGGCAGAAGUCUCCCCAUGAGAGUGCCAAGGGAAUUUUUCACAUCUGUAGGAAGACCAGCCUCUGCCCUGUGAGGAGCUCAAAGGACAGCAGGCAGAGGAAGGUGGCACAGGACCUUAGAAGGGAUCUGAAAAAGCCAUAUUGAAAAACAGAUAAUUGGUUUAAAGAACCCUUCGUGAACCCUGGCAGGGGAGGCCAAACUUAAGUGACGUGAGAGGUUUUUCUGAAGAGCCUGGGGCUGUAACUGAUGAAGGAAGAUCAGUAGGCAUGGAAGAGUUCGAUAUUUCAGAAAAGGUCACUGCUCUUUCUCCUCCGUUGCGAUGAUGCGGGAAGAAUAAGCUCAUCUUCCCCCUCUGUGUCUGGUGUCCUGGGAUCACCUUUGCUGCCCUGUGCUUCAGCAUCACCAGGUUGAUAAUAUACAAUGAGAGAAAAUGCUGGACUGAGAGAUCAAAAAUCGUGAGAGCAUUUUAGAGGCACGGAAAUCACACAGAGGGGCUUUGCUUUAUGCCUCCAUGCUUUACCAGUAGAAGAAGACUAGCUCAUCUGGCAAGCCUGUUUAGUCUCUGCAUUCACUGAGAUACCCAGCAAGGAUACCAGCAGUGGGGACAGAUGAUGAAGCUCCCACUCCUUACCUUUGAGACUACAUAGUCCAGCAGCCAGUUUAUGUUCAAGGAAAGCUUUCGUAUGAAAACUUUUUGGCCCAUUCUAAAGGCAGCAACACUGUAAAGAGGGAAAAGAGACACUGGAAGAAAAACCCAUGACUUUAUGUGCAAGCUAACCAUGAAUACAAGUGGAGAGCACAUCGAAAAUAUCUUAGACCUGGAGGAAGUUUGGAGGAAGGGAGAGAUUUAUUUGUAAGAGUUGUAAUCUCAAAACAAAAGGCAGCCAGGGCAGGAACACCAGUUUUGCAAAUGCAUGUGUGCUAUAAUUCAGUCUAUGCUCUCUUGUAUUAAAUUCAUGACAACACAACAAUAUUUCAGUGCAAUUCUUUAUCAAUUGUAGAUUACAUCAUGCUGUGAAUUGCUCUGUCUGUUGAUAUUGAUCCUUGUAAAUCAUUUGGUUUAAGGUCUUGAAAUGAAAGCUGUGAUGCAUUUCAGCAUGUAAUGUACUCGCU
Molecule: long non-coding RNA, 1186 nt
Organism: Rhea pennata
Lineage: Eukaryota; Metazoa; Chordata; Aves; Rheiformes; Rheidae
Exons: 5
Source: RefSeq, a predicted model, not a curated record